RNAcentral lists this transfer RNA (89 nucleotides) under Phycisphaerae bacterium. Its description in RNAcentral is "tRNA-Ser". It matches the Rfam family "tRNA". Rfam says of the family: Transfer RNA (tRNA) molecules are approximately 80 nucleotides in length. Their secondary structure includes four short double-helical elements and three loops (D, anti-codon, and T loops). RNAcentral also lists the same sequence under 1 other name. The record is from RNAcentral. Lineage: Bacteria; Pseudomonadati; Planctomycetota; Phycisphaerae.
GGAGAGGUGUCCGAGUGGCCGAAGGAGCAGCACUGGAAAUGCUGUAUCGGGCUUAAACCCGAUCGCGGGUUCGAAUCCCGCCCUCUCCG